GGGUUUUCGCGUCUGAGUCGGGGCGUGCUUACAGCGAUGCGGAGCGUGGUGGUCGGACAUCUUGGUAAAGUCUAACUACGUGGGACCGAAGUUGGACAUGAAGUUGGACAGUGUCGAAGUCUUUGUCGACCUGAAGUUUCCCUAGUUAGAUAUCUGAAGAAUUCCAUCGGAUCACCAGCCGAGACCUCCUGGGGACUUUAAGUGCAUCCCUUGACAAAUAUGUGCCCCACCUGCUGAGACUUUACCGGACAAGGAAGGGAGCUUUUGGUCAGAAGAUGGAAGACCUCCUGGAAAAGCUUGAUGAACAGUCCUUAGACAUCGGACAUUGUGUCUCACCGAUAGACAGCAGCACUGAGGGGCCUACCUAUCUUUGUCCGGGACGACCCAACACAGUUCUUCCUGGAGUGUUUGGACACUGACCAUGAGAAGAGAGUGCUCAGAGGGGUGUCUGUUGCCAUCCUCACCAUCAUUGAAGAUGAUGAUGCUGCCAUAUCACCAAACGUGCGAGAUGUAGCGGUUGUGUUGGAAGGGACCAUCGUGCUUCAAGACCUACCAGACAUCUGUACUGCCUUUGCAUACCUCUUUGGCCUACUGUAUGUCAUGAACAUUGACUGUCCAAAGGAGAUGAGGUAUACCUUCGAAGGGAUUCAAACGAUCUUUUUCGAGCUUGGCUCUCGAUGCUCGCAGCGCAUACGGUCUCUGAAAACAAAGCUUUUGCUCUAAAUCUGAUGGGGAAGCCAGACAGGACAUAAUGCUUUGUUUUGUUCCUGUUUGAGUGCAUUGUUUGUUCUCAUGUGUAACCUUUUAAGUCACCUUUGCCUCAGAUUCACAGAAUUUGAAGAAAUGUCAGUUGCCAGUUCACAAUAGGGACACAUCGUGCGUGCGUGCGUGCGUGCGCGCGCGUGUCCAUUGUUUACUGAAGGCCAGACAGACCUCAUUGAGUACUUUUAACUCAUGUUCAAAAGGAGAAAUAAACAAGGUUUUAGCUAACUUUGAGCUGUGUGCCUUUUUUAUUUAAUAAUGUAUUUAUUGAGAAUUCCUUUAAUACAAUUACAGCAACUUACAUUUUCAUUGAGUUAUCUAGGAAAAUUUCUAUCUCACUGAAGCAAGAAUUAUGUAUGUUGAAGGCAGAAAUACAUAGCAUUGAAACAAUGAUUUUAUUGUUAGCCUCACAGAAAUAUCAUAAUUCUGUGAACAAGAAAAUUAAGUUGGCAGAACUCGAAAUACAAUUAUAUAGCAACAUCAAUUUGUAUUGAUUUUUAACGUAAUUUUUUUGUCUCACUGAAACAAGAAUUGUAUAUUUAUUCAACACAAAUAUCUGUGUUUGUCAAAGGUAGAAAUACAUGGCACUGAAACAAGAAUUUCAUCGUUGGCCUCACAGGAAUUUCAUAAUUUGGUGAACAAGAAAAUUGAAGUUGGCAGAACUUUUGUCCAAACUUGUAAAUCUUAGUUAAGUCAACUACUGUAGUCAAAAGUUGAGAACUUGAAAAUCGAUUGCAUCAAGUUGACUUGAUAUUUUAAGUUUUCUCAAGGUUUUUUUUUUUUUUUUUUUUUACAGUGCAGAACCACUGCUGGAGAAUAACUCCUAUCCAAUAUACCCAAUUCCCUAGCCUUCUCCUUAGCAACCCAACCAAAGCUCUUUGUUAGCGUUUUUCCAUGUUCCCAGCAUGGCUCAAUUGCACUUACUGUUGGAUGGUUAUGUCCUUGUAAACUAGCCCAAUAUGUCAUUAUCUGUAAUCUCAACUCCAAUGGCAUUUCCCCCAUUUCUACCUGCAAUGCUGGCACAGAUGUUCUUUUAAAAGCCCCACUACAUAUUCUUAAUGCUUGUGCUU
Long non-coding RNA from Anarrhichthys ocellatus (wolf-eel), 1832 nucleotides. RefSeq lists it as uncharacterized. The transcript has 4 exons. The record is from RefSeq and is a predicted model, not a curated record. Lineage: Eukaryota; Metazoa; Chordata; Actinopteri; Perciformes; Anarhichadidae.